This 94-nucleotide small nucleolar RNA is filed under the name Fukomys damarensis (Damara mole-rat). RNAcentral's name for it is "Small nucleolar RNA U3". It matches the Rfam family "Small nucleolar RNA U3". From Rfam's summary of the family: Small nucleolar RNAs (snoRNAs) are involved in the processing and modification of rRNA in the nucleolus. There are two main classes of snoRNAs: the box C/D class, and the box H/ACA class. The record is from Rfam by way of RNAcentral. Lineage: Eukaryota; Metazoa; Chordata; Mammalia; Rodentia; Bathyergidae.
AAGACUAUACUUUCAGGGAUCAUUUCUGUAGUUGGUUACUAGAGAGGUUUCUCUGAUUGGGUAGAGUACCAAUUCUUCUAUUUAUCCUUGAGGG